CAUCUUUAAUAGGAUGUUACGAUUGUGUGAAUACAUAGCACAUUCGAGGUAGACGCAGAGAACUGAAACAUCUAAGUACCUGCAGGAAGAGAAAGAAAAUUCGAUUCCCUGAGUAGCGGCGAGCGAAACGGGAAAAGCCCAAACCAGCAAGCUUGCUUGUUGGGGUUGUAGGACUCCAAUAUGGUAGUUCUUUCAGAUAGUCGAAUGACUUGGAAAAGUCAGUCAAAGAGGGUAAAAACCCCGUAGACGAAAUGUGGAAGACACCUAGGAGGAUCCUGAGUACGGCGGAACACGAGAAAUUCCGUCGGAAUCCGGGAGGACCAUCUCCCAAGGCUAAAUACUCCCUAGUGACCGAUAGUGAACCAGUACCGUGAGGGAAAGGUGAAAAGCACCCCGGAAGGGGAGUGAAAUAGAACCUGAAACCGUGUGCCUACAACAAGUCAAAGCCCGUUAAUGGGUGAUGGCGUGCCUUUUGUAGAAUGAACCGGCGAGUUACGAUUGCAUGCGAGGUUAAGUUGAAGAGACGGAGCCGCAGCGAAAGCGAGUCUGAAUAGGGCGUUUGAGUAUGUAGUCGUAGACCCGAAACCAUGUGAUCUACCCAUGUCCAGGUUGAAGGUGCGGUAAAACGCACUGGAGGACCGAACCCACGUACGUUGAAAAGUGCGGGGAUGAGGUGUGGGUAGCGGAGAAAUUCCAAACGAACUUGGAGAUAGCUGGUUCUCUCCGAAAUAGCUUUAGGGCUAGCCUCGGAAUUGAGAAUGAUGGAGGUAGAGCACUGUUUGGACUAGGGGCCCAUCUCGGGUUACCGAAUUCAGAUAAACUCCGAAUGCCAUUCAUUCAUAUCCGGGAGUCAGACUGUGAGUGAUAAGAUCCAUAGUCGAAAGGGAAACAGCCCAGACCACCAGCUAAGGUCCCAAAAUAUAUGUUAAGUGGAAAAGGAUGUGGGGUUGCACAGACAACUAGG
Molecule: ribosomal RNA, 964 nt
Filed under: Enterococcus faecium
Lineage: Bacteria; Bacillati; Bacillota; Bacilli; Lactobacillales; Enterococcaceae
Description: partial 23S ribosomal RNA
Rfam family: Bacterial large subunit ribosomal RNA
Source: RNAcentral